This 789-nucleotide ribosomal RNA is filed under the name uncultured bacterium. RNAcentral's name for it is "bacterial SSU rRNA". It matches the Rfam family "Bacterial small subunit ribosomal RNA", at positions 8 to 794 of the family's 1533-position model. The record is from RNAcentral.
AGAGUUUGAUCAUGGCUCAGAUUGAACGCUGGCGGCAUGCCUUACACAUGCAAGUCGAACGGUAACGCGGGGCAACCUGGCGACGAGUGGCGAACGGGUGAGUAAAGCAUCGGAACGUGCCCAGUAGUGGGGGAUAGCCCGGCGAAAGCCGGAUUAAUACCGCAUACGACCUACGGGUGAAAGGGGGGGAUCGCAAGACCUCUCGCUAUUGGAGCGGCCGAUGUCAGAUUAGGUAGUUGGUGGGGUAAAGGCCUACCAAGGCGACGAUGCGUAGCCGACCUGAGAGGGUGAACGGCCACACUGGGACUGAGACACGGCCCAGACUCCUACGGGAGGCAGCAGUAGGGAAUCUUCGGCAAUGGGCGAAAGCCUGACCGAGCAACGCCGCGUGAAUGAUGAAGGCCUUCGGGUUGUAAAAUUCUGUUAUAAGGGAAGAACGACUUUAGUAGGAAAUGGCUAGAGUGUGACGGUACCUUAUGAGAAAGCCACGGCUAACUACGUGCCAGCAGCCGCGGUAAUACGUAGGUGGCGAGCGUUAUCCGGAAUUAUUGGGCGUAAAGAGCGCGCAGGUGGUUGAUUAAGUCUGAUGUGAAAGCCCACGGCUUAACCGUGGAGGGUCAUUGGAAACUGGUCGACUUGAGUGCAGAAGAGGGAAGUGGAAUUCCAUGUGUAGCGGUGAAAUGCGUAGAGAUAUGGAGGAACACCAGUGGCGAAGGCGGCUUCCUGGUCUGUAACUGACACUGAGGCGCGAAAGCGUGGGGAGCAAACAGGAUUAGAUACCCCGGUAGU